This 173-nucleotide ribosomal RNA is filed under the name uncultured cyanobacterium. Its description in RNAcentral is "partial 16S ribosomal RNA". It matches the Rfam family "Bacterial small subunit ribosomal RNA", at positions 338 to 524 of the family's 1533-position model. Lineage: Bacteria; Bacillati; Cyanobacteriota. The record is from RNAcentral. RNAcentral also lists the same sequence under 1 other name.
CCGACGGGAGGCAGCAGUGGGGAAUUUUCCGCAAUGGGCGAAAGCCUGACGGAGCAAUACCGCGUGAGGGAAGACUGCCUAUGGGUUGUAAACCUCUUUUUUCAGGGAGGAAUAAAAUGACGUGUACCUGAAGAAUAAGCAUCGGCUAACUCCGUGCCCGCAGCCACGGUAAU